This 73-nucleotide transfer RNA is filed under the name Bos taurus (domestic cattle). It matches the Rfam family "tRNA". From Rfam's summary of the family: Transfer RNA (tRNA) molecules are approximately 80 nucleotides in length. Their secondary structure includes four short double-helical elements and three loops (D, anti-codon, and T loops). The record is from Rfam by way of RNAcentral. RNAcentral also lists the same sequence under 5 other names. Lineage: Eukaryota; Metazoa; Chordata; Mammalia; Artiodactyla; Bovidae.
UCCCUGGUGGUCUAGUGGCUAAGACUCCGCAUUCCCAAUGCAGAGGGCUGGGGUUCAAUCCCUAGUCAGAAAA